RNAcentral lists this ribosomal RNA (429 nucleotides) under Gemmatimonadota bacterium. RNAcentral describes it as "Gemmatimonadetes bacterium partial 16S ribosomal RNA". It matches the Rfam family "Bacterial small subunit ribosomal RNA", at positions 355 to 776 of the family's 1533-position model. The record is from RNAcentral. Lineage: Bacteria; Pseudomonadati; Gemmatimonadota.
UAGGGAAUCUUCGGCAAUGGACGAAAGUCUGACCGAGCAACGCCGCGUGUGUGAAGAAGGUUUUCGGAUCGUAAAACUCUGUUGUUAGAGAAGAACAAGGACGUUAGUAACUGAACGUCCCCUGACGGUAUCUAACCAGAAAGCCACGGCUAACUACGUGCCAGCAGCCGCGGUAAUACGUAGGUGGCAAGCGUUGUCCGGAUUUAUUGGGCGUAAAGCGAGCGCAGGCGGUUUCUUAAGUCUGUUGUGAAAGCCCCCGGCUCAACCGGGGAGGGUCAUUGGAAACUGGGAGACUUUAGUGCAGAAGAGGAGUGUGGAAGUCCAUGUGUAGCGGUGAAAUGCGUAGAUAUAUGGAGGAACACCAGUGGCGAAGGCGGCUCUCUGGUCUGUAACUGACGCUGAGGCUCGAAAGCGUGGGGAGCAAACAGG